RNAcentral lists this ribosomal RNA (253 nucleotides) under uncultured bacterium. RNAcentral describes it as "partial 16S ribosomal RNA". It matches the Rfam family "Bacterial small subunit ribosomal RNA", at positions 524 to 776 of the family's 1533-position model. The record is from RNAcentral.
UACGUAGGGGGCAAGCGUUGUCCGGAAUCAUUGGGCGUAAAGCGCGUGUAGGCGGCCCGGUAAGUCCGCUGUGAAAGUCGGGGGCUCAACCCUCGAAUGCCGGUGGAUACUGUCGGGCUAGAGUGCGGAAGAGGCGAGUGGAAUUCCUGGUGUAGCGGUGAAAUGCGCAGAUAUCAGGAGGAACACCAAUUGCGAAGGCAGCUCGCUGGGACGUGACUGGCGCUGAGACGCGAAAGCGUGGGGAGCAAACAGG